UGCGUAGGCGGUUUGGUAAGUCUGAUGUGAAAUCUAUGGGCUCAACUCAUAGUCUGCAUCGGAAACUGCCGGGCUCGAGUGUGGGAGAGGUGAGUGGAAUUCCUGGUGUAGCGGUGAAAUGCGUAGAUAUCAGGAGGAACACCUGUGGCGAAAGCGGCUCACUGGACCAUAACUGACGCUGAUGCACGAAAGCUAGGGGAGCAAACAGGAUUAGAUACCCUGGUAGUCCUAGCCCUAAACCAUGACUGCUUGGUGUGACGGGUACCCAAUCCCGCCGUGCCGUAGCUAACGCGUUAAGCAGUCCGCCUGGGGAGUACGGUCGCAAGGCUGAA
This 332-nucleotide ribosomal RNA is filed under the name uncultured bacterium. RNAcentral's name for it is "bacterial SSU rRNA". It matches the Rfam family "Bacterial small subunit ribosomal RNA", at positions 568 to 898 of the family's 1533-position model. The record is from RNAcentral.